UACGUAGGGUGCGAGCGUUAAUCGGAAUUACUGGGCGUAAAGCGUGCGCAGGCGGUUUUGUAAGCCAGGUGUGAAAGCCCCGGGCUUAACCUGGGAAUGGCAUUUGGGACUGCAAGGCUGGAGUGUGGCAGAGGAGACUGGAAUUCCUGGUGUAGCAGUGAAAUGCGUAGAUAUCAGGAGGAAUACCGAUGGCGAAGGCAGGUCUCUGGGCUAACACUGACGCUCAUGCACGAAAGCGUGGGGAGCAAACAGG
Molecule: ribosomal RNA, 253 nt
Filed under: uncultured bacterium
Lineage: Bacteria
Description: partial 16S ribosomal RNA
Rfam family: Bacterial small subunit ribosomal RNA
Source: RNAcentral